Fukomys damarensis (Damara mole-rat) is the source of this 126-nucleotide ribosomal RNA. Lineage: Eukaryota; Metazoa; Chordata; Mammalia; Rodentia; Bathyergidae. The record is from Ensembl.
UGAUUUUUCCCCAUUGCCCUGCCUUCCCUUCCGAACUCAUUUGAUCUCAGUAGCAAGCAGGGUUGAGCCCGGUUAGUUCUUGGAUGGGAGACCCUUUUUGAUGAACAAAAUUCUGAGAAAGAUGAG